UGUCCGGAAUAUGGGGCGUAAAGAAGCUCGUAGGCGGUUUGUCGCGUCUGCUGUGAAAUCUGGGGGCUCAACCCCCAGCCUGCAGUGGGUACGGGCAGACUAGAGUGCGGUAGGGGAGAUUGGAAUUCCUGGUGUAGCGGUGGAAUGCGCAGAUAUCAGGAGGAACACCGAUGGCGAAGGCAGAUCUCUGGGCCGUAACUGACGCUGAGGAGCGAAAGCAUGGGGAGCGAACAGGAUUAGAUACCCUGGUAGUCCAUGCCGUAAACGUUGGGAACUAGAUGUGGGGGCCAUUCCACGGUCUCCGUGUCGCAGCUAACGCAUUAAGUUCCCCGCCUGGGGAGUACGGCCGCAAGGCUAAAACUCAAAGGAAUUGACGGGGGCCCGCACAAGCGGCGGAGCAUGCGGAUUAAUUCGAUGCAACGCGAAGAACCUUACCAAGGCUUGACAUAUACCGGAAACGUCCAGAGAUGGUCGCCCCGCAAGGUCGGUAUACAGGUGGUGCAUGGUUGU
This 510-nucleotide ribosomal RNA is filed under the name actinobacterium G7B2. RNAcentral describes it as "bacterial SSU rRNA". It matches the Rfam family "Bacterial small subunit ribosomal RNA", at positions 542 to 1052 of the family's 1533-position model. The record is from RNAcentral. Lineage: Bacteria; Bacillati; Actinomycetota; Actinomycetes.